Molecule: long non-coding RNA, 647 nt
Filed under: Olea europaea subsp. europaea
Lineage: Eukaryota; Viridiplantae; Streptophyta; Magnoliopsida; Lamiales; Oleaceae
Source: RNAcentral
CCAGUCUUCGAUCGUCAGGAAAUCUCCCUCUGACGAAGUGUCUGUGUCGGAUUCCGGGUAAUACAGUGACAAAGAUGCGUAUUUUUCAAUUAUAGCCAUUUGUGCCUCUCUCUUUUCCUCCCAAAACCCCUCGUUUCCUUCUUCUUCACCUUCGUAUUCUUCAUGUAUAACCUCCAAUGGUGCCCUCACGUCCCAUUCCACAAAGCACUCAGCUAAAACAUUGGGAACCAAAUUCAAAUUCAGCUUCGGAUCGCUACGGGAUUCACAUGAAACCCGGUUGAGAUCAUGAAGAGAAAAUUCUUCAUUCUGCGGUAAUAAUUUCUCGGUGGAAUCGAAUUCCGGGGAAUGGGGUCCAGUUUCCUUCUGGGUUUUUUGACUUGCACCGAGACGGAGAAGAUAGAGUAAGAUAAUUGAGGUGAAAAUUAGGACAGGGGAGAAAAUGAGUCUAUGAAAAAAAGUUGGGAAGUACAGUAGAAUCAGAGUGUAGAAAGUGAAGAUGGUGGAGAAUAGAGUGUUUGAGCUAAGAAAGGAGAGUGUUUCUUGAAGAAAGGUAAAGAAAUUGGAUUCUCUUUGUUUUUGCUUCUCCUCCAUUGAUGAAUUUCUGAAGGUGAAAAGGCACUCAAUUGUGGGAGAUAUUUAUGAGCAGG